UAACGUCGCCGGGGCGGCUCCCGCCCGCAUCGAGGGCGUCAACGACGUCCGCAGACGCGCCGAUCAAGAGCUUAACGGCUUCGAGAGAAGCCGCGGAGCCGCCGGCGGCAGCGCAGUGCAGGGCGGUGGCUCCGUCGGAGUAGGCGUGGCGGACGGCCUCAGCUGGGCAGGCGGACAGGAUGUAGCCCAUCACGGCGGUGCUGCCGUAUAGCGCCGCGAUCAUGAGCGGCGUCCGCAGCUGGUAACCCAUUCCCCGGCCAGGAGAGCGGCCGUACCAGGAGGCAGCGGCAUCCAACGGUCGGCCGUCGUCCUCCACCGCCCGCCUGAAGGCGGCGAGGUCGUCGGAAGCGGCGAGCUCAAGGAGCACUGCGGCCGCCUCCGACGAAGUCUCCAUGGCCUCUGCGCCGCAUCCCGCCGCGGGGUCGUUGGGCAGCGAGGAGAGCUUCCGGUGGCCGCCACACAUGUCCUCUCUUCCACCUACAUCAAGCAACAAAACUCCGUCAAAAACCAAAAAGAGGCAACAAAUCGAACGCCACGAUGAAACCUAUGAGAAUGGAUGCGUACGAGAGCCGAUGCGAGUGUGAGGGAACGAAGGGAACGAGGAGGUCGUGAUUUGCGAGGAAAGCUUUGGCCUUUCGUCCCCUUUUGUAGGCGUGAGUGGGAGUG
RNAcentral lists this long non-coding RNA (666 nucleotides) under Musa acuminata (dwarf banana). RNAcentral describes it as "long non-coding RNA (MACU_LNC002955)". Lineage: Eukaryota; Viridiplantae; Streptophyta; Magnoliopsida; Zingiberales; Musaceae. The record is from RNAcentral.